This 157-nucleotide long non-coding RNA is filed under the name Zonotrichia albicollis (white-throated sparrow). Its description in RNAcentral is "lncRNA (ENSZALG00000013586.1)". The record is from RNAcentral. Lineage: Eukaryota; Metazoa; Chordata; Aves; Passeriformes; Passerellidae.
GAUAAUGUUAAAGAAUCUUGAGUCUUCCCAUCUGUUACUGUUUGUAGGAAGCUCCAUUAUGGAUGUGAAGAAAAGGAAUAAGAUGCUGUAUUGUGUUGCUGAGCAGAUUGAAGUUACUCAAGACUUGAAUGCUGAAACACUGGCAGAUUAUUCAUAG